ACCCCGGCGAGGGGAGUGAAAAAGAACCUGAAACCGUGUACGUACAAGCAGUGGGAGCCUCUUAAUGGGGUGACUGCGUACCUUUUGUAUAAUGGGUCAGCGACUUAUAUUCUGUAGCAAGGUUAACCGAAUAGGGGAGCCGAAGGGAAACCGAGUCUUAACUGGGCGUUAAGUUGCAGGGUAUAGACCCGAAACCCGGUGAUCUAGCCAUGGGCAGGUUGAAGGUUGGGUAACACUAACUGGAGGACCGAACCGACUAAUGUUGAAAAAUUAGCGGAUGACUUGUGGCUGGGGGUGAAAGGCCAAUCAAACCGGGAGAUAGCUGGUUCUCCCCGAAAGCUAUUUAGGUAGCGCCUCGUGAAUUCAUCUCCGGGGGUAGAGCACUGUUUCGGCAAGGGGGUCAUCCCGACUUACCAACCCGAUGCAAACUGCGAAUACCGGAGAAUGUUAUCACGGGAGACACACGGCGGGUGCUAACGUCCGUCGUGAAGAGGGAAACAACCCAGACCGCCAGCUAAGGUCCCAAAGUCAUGGUUAAGUGGGAAACGAUGUGGGAAGGCCCAGACAGCCAGGAUGUUGGCUUAGAAGCAGCCAUCAUUUAAAGAAAGCGUAAUAGCUCACUGGUCGAGUCGGCCUGCGCGGAAGAUGUAACGGGGCUAAACCAUGCACCGAAGCUGCGGCAGCGACACUAUGUGUUGUUGGGUAGGGGAGCGUUCUGUAAGCCUGUGAAGGUGUGCUGUGAGGCAUGCUGGAGGUAUCAGAAGUGCGAAUGCUGACAUAAGUAACGAUAAAGCGGGUGAAAAGCCCGCUCGCCGGAAGACCAAGGGUUCCUGUCCAACGUUAAUCGGGGCAGGGUGAGUCGACCCCUAAGGCGAGGCCGAAAGGCGUAGUCGAUGGGAAACAGGUUAAUAUUCCUGUACUUGGUGUUACUGCGAAGGGGGGACGGAGAAGGCUAUGUUGGCCGGGCGACGGUUGUCCCGGUUUAAGCGUGUAGGCUGGUUUUCCAGGCAAAUCCGGAAAACCAAGGCUGAGGCGUGAUGACGAGGCACUACGGUGCUGAAGCGACAAAUGCCCUGCUUCCAGGAAAAGCCUCUAAGCAUCAGGUAACAUCAAAUCGUACCCCAAACCGACACAGGUGGUCAGGUAGAGAAUACCAAGGCGCUUGAGAGAACUCGGGUGAAGGAACUAGGCAAAAUGGUGCCGUAACUUCGGGAGAAGGCACGCUGAUAUGUAGGUGAAGCGACUUGCUCGUGGAGCUGAAAUCAGUCGAAGAUACCAGCUGGCUGCAACUGUUUAUUAAAAACACA
This 1307-nucleotide ribosomal RNA is filed under the name Escherichia coli. RNAcentral describes it as "partial 23S ribosomal RNA". It matches the Rfam family "Bacterial large subunit ribosomal RNA", at positions 523 to 1817 of the family's 2925-position model. The record is from RNAcentral. Lineage: Bacteria; Pseudomonadati; Pseudomonadota; Gammaproteobacteria; Enterobacterales; Enterobacteriaceae.